GGGUGCCACAGAUGACCAUUUUAUUUGAUUUAAUUACUUGUCUCAAUCUCAAUCUUCACCAUAAGCAUGUUAACCCGAAUGACAUAUUGUCACAAACAUUCUUAUAGAAUGGGUUUUCCGACACGGUCGCCUCUGGGUACAACUGGGUGAAGCUGAAGGUCGAAAACGCCGUUGUCGUCUUUCUGAAUGCGAUGCGGACUCACGCUAACACGCACAAGCUGUCAAUAAGGUGCGCGCAUGCGCGUGGCUAAAGCCAGCAGCUGAACCUUGUGUCAAAACACAGAGGGAAAGCGGCAGGAGGCAGCAAAUCUGGGCUAGGUUUCAUUUUCGUGGGAGUAUUUAUAAAACCAGAUUUUUCAAUAACGUACACAUACCAUGACCGAACAAUCAGCGUUACUUCUUCGAAAACAACUUGCAGAGCUCAACAAGAACCCUGUGGAGGGCUUUUCGGCAGGUCUAAUAGAUGAUGACGACAUAUAUAAAUGGGAAGUUGUGAUCAUUGGUCCCCAGGAUACCCUUUUUGAAGGAGGGUUUUUUAAAGCAUAUCUAACCUUUCCCUAUGAUUAUCCUCUUCGACCUCCAAAGAUGAAGUUCAUAACUGAAAUAUGGCACCCAAAUGUUGCAAAAAAUGGGGAUGUUUGCAUCUCCAUCCUGCAUGAGCCUGGAGAGGAUAAAUUUGGCUACGAGAAGCCCGAAGAGCGCUGGCUGCCCAUCCACACGGUUGAGACAAUCAUGAUUAGUGUUAUCUCCAUGUUGGCAGACCCCAACAGUGAUUCACCAGCUAAUGUAGAUGCUGCAAAAGAGUGGAGGGAGGACCCAAACGGUGAAUUCAAGAGAAAAGUGGCUCGUUGUGUAAGAAAAAGUCAAGAGAUGGCCUUUGACUAGAAGCCCAUUGUGAAUCCCAGGAUUUAUGAGAACAGUUUCCCAGCAUCACCUCUAUGUGUCGCCAAAGCACCAAAAGCUGCAGAAACUUUAUGGAAAUGCCUCCAGAGGGAAACGUUCCAACUUGUGUGCCCCUUGUUUUGCAAGACAAAAGGAAUUGGUUGGAACCUGGUUUCUGCGAGCGGUUGUCAUUUAUCACAAGAAGAGCAAAUUGGAGAACACUACCAGCGAAAUUCACUUACUUCCUACAUGGAAUUGUAUAUUUAAUUUUAUUUAUUUUGGAAAACUAAUGAUGUAAAAUAUGUCACUACUGUAAAUUAACUUCCUUUUUUUAUCUGCUGCUGAACAGUUUCUACUUUAUACUACCAGGUUUCUUAUGCAAUUUAGUGGUCAAUAUUGAGUCGAACAAAUGAAAGCCUGUUACCUUUUAAACAUCACCCCCUGUGCUCACUACUACAUACUGUACUUGUCAGCCCAGCAUAUCUGUCAAUAGAUGUGACUUGUGAUUUUCAGCACUGUCAUUGACCCACUGUUGCCUUUUAUUGGCGUUAUUUCAUCACUCUGCUUAUUGUUCAGAAAGAGAGGAUGACAUUUCUGUGGCACUUAUACAUCUUUUAUUUCGUUAUUUAUUUUAGAAACAGCGACCUGCUAGUAUUAGCUAUCUCUGCGAGGGUAGCAAUGACUCAAACGUGCAUGAUCCCUUCAAAAACUCUCUUGCGUCUUGUUUCUAAUUGUCGUCGUGAACGGAAUGGCUUACUGUGCUUUGAGAGCCACGAUCUUCUCGUAUAUAGACUUAUUGCACACGCGUGGCUGACAUUAACACUAGGUUUGUGCCAACAUCUCAGGAUUAAACUCUAAUGUUGCAAUUAGCACUCGGUGGGAUACUUAAAGUUCCUCAUGGCCUUUCUCGGCCAAUGAAAAUUUAUUUCAACAACCACAACCAAAAACGGUCUGUGGAGAAAAGUGUACAAGCUGUGAUAAUUCUGGGUGGGUAGUGUGGAGUGCUGUGGCAUCUGGAAUUUACCUCAAUCUGGUUGUUGAGUUCUCAAUGUGGGGAUGUUUGGGGGCUACAUUGUAGAAUUGAACUAGCUGUUAGUAUGUUGUUGCACAUUGGGCUUUUCUGUGGAUACGUUUCACAAUUUUAAGAGGGUUUAGAUGCUGAGGAUUGUAAGUAGAUUGACAGGUAAAACUUUCAUCACCUUAAGCUUUUCCUGGUGCACAUUUUGCCAACAUGUAUCAUGUUAAAAGUUCAGAAUUUUUUUUUUUUUUUUUUUUUGCAUGAGAUUGACCAAACACCAUUUGUCAUUGGAGAAAGACACAAUUCUGCAUGUACGUUUUACUUUAAAUAAAGUACACUGGUCAAAAUAACAGAUAUUUCCCCCUCCGUAAUGCCAUCUACACCGAUACAGACUGAUUACAAAAUAACCAUCUUUUGGCACAUGCAAUCAGGGUUGAAUGAGUUGAGUAUGUGAAGGAUACUAUUUACAAUGUACAUCCUGGAUGAAUGUGAUGUAUAUUCUUAGUAGACUUAAUCAUGUUACUGCUGUUGUUUUACGUCAUUUUCUAACCUACCAUGACCUCUGACCGGUGUUCACUGUAUUUGCACAGAUUCAGUGCGUUUUUCAAACGUCAUCAAGCAAUAUGCUCUGAAAAUGGUGUCCAGGGAAUCCACCCUAUAAUGUUGCUACUUGUUUUGUUUUCCAUUUUUUGUCAACGCAAUGUACAUUGGACAUGAUGCUCAAUAAAGUGUGUAAAACAAG
This is an RNA transcript of Phyllopteryx taeniolatus (common seadragon), 2642 nucleotides long. It is a transcript of the gene named ubiquitin-conjugating enzyme E2 G1-like, with no coding region annotated. The transcript has 7 exons. NCBI's taxonomy places the organism in Eukaryota, Metazoa, Chordata, Actinopteri, Syngnathiformes, Syngnathidae. The record is from RefSeq and is a predicted model, not a curated record.